RNAcentral lists this ribosomal RNA (513 nucleotides) under uncultured bacterium. RNAcentral describes it as "partial 16S ribosomal RNA". It matches the Rfam family "Bacterial small subunit ribosomal RNA", at positions 28 to 523 of the family's 1533-position model. The record is from RNAcentral.
GACGAACGCUGGCGGCAUGCCUAAUACAUGCAAGUCGAGCGAACAGAUGAAGUGCUUGCACUUCUGACGUUAGCGGCGUACGGGUGAGUAACACGUAAGGAAUCUACCUAUAAGCGGGGGAUAACAUUCGGAAACGGGUGCUAAUACCGCAUAAUAUCUUCUUCCGCAUGGAAGAAGAUUGAAAGACGGCUCUGCUGUCACUUAUAGAUGACCUUGCGGUGCAUUAGUUAGUUGGUGGGGUAAUGGCCUACCAAGACGAUGAUGCAUAGCCGACCUGAGAGGGUGAUCGGCCACAUUGGGACUGAGACACGGCCCAAACUCCUACGGGAGGCAGCAGUAGGGAAUCUUCCGCAAUGGGCGAAAGCCUGACGGAGCAAUGCCGCGUGAGUGAAGAAGGCCUUCGGGUCGUAAAACUCUGUUAUAAGAGAAGUACAAAUUGUAGAGUAACUGCUACAGUCUUGACGGUAUCUUAUCAGAAAGCCACGGCUAACUACGUGCCAGCAGCCGCCGUAA